Molecule: ribosomal RNA, 530 nt
Filed under: uncultured bacterium
Lineage: Bacteria
Description: bacterial SSU rRNA
Rfam family: Bacterial small subunit ribosomal RNA
Source: RNAcentral
CACCUACGGGUGGCAGCAGUAAGGAAUAUUGGUCAAUGGACGCAAGUCUGAACCAGCCAUGCCGCGUGGAGGAUUAAGGCCCUCUGGGUUGUAAACUCCUUUUAUCUGGGAAGAAAUGUCUGCAUUCUUGCGGACUUGACGGUACCAGAGGAAUAAGCACCGGCUAACUCCGUGCCAGCAGCCGCGGUAAUACGGAGGGUGCAAGCGUUAUCCGGAUUCACUGGGUUUAAAGGGUGCGUAGGCGGACAGGUAAGUCAGUGGUGAAAUCUCCGAGCUUAACUCGGAAACUGCCGUUGAUACUAUUUGUCUUGAAUAUUGUGGAGGUAAGCGGAAUAUGUCAUGUAGCGGUGAAAUGCUUAGAUAUGACAUAGAACACCAAUUGCGAAGGCAGCUUACUACACAAUUAUUGACGCUGAGGCACGAAAGCGUGGGGAUCAAACAGGAUUAGAUACCCUGGUAGUCCACGCCCUAAACGAUGAUUACUCGACAUACGCGAUAUACUGUGUGUGUCUGAGCGAAAGCAUUAAGUA